GCAGAAGAGGAAGUUACGAUGAGAAGGAGCUCUAGAAAUUAGCUUGAAGUCUCCUUGAGUCUUUAACCAAAUACAAAGCUGCCCAUGCAUAGGAGACUAGGAAGCUUACUGAGAUACUGUGAUGCUGUAUAAUGCUAGGAAUCAGACUAAGUGAAGAAACUUCAUUGAACACUCAGAGAAUUCAGAUAUUGCAUUUUUCACAAGUUGAAGGUUUGUGGCAAACCUGCACUGAGCAAAGUCUACAGGGAUGCCUUCCAACGUGACAACUGGACUUUCUCAGAUAAGCAAUCCAAGAGAGAAAAAGAAAUAAUUAAAAGGUACAACAAGAUAGAAAAAUGGGCUGGAAGUCUGAAGAUAUAACACAUGAAAUGACAAACAUGCUCACACAGUUGAAUUCAAGAAAGAAAUAAAAAUACAGAGAUCAAAGCAUGAUACAUUCAGGCCACACUUAAACACCUUCAAGCAGCUGGCA
Symphalangus syndactylus (siamang) is the source of this 472-nucleotide long non-coding RNA. RefSeq lists it as uncharacterized. The record is from RefSeq and is a predicted model, not a curated record. NCBI's taxonomy places the organism in Eukaryota, Metazoa, Chordata, Mammalia, Primates, Hylobatidae.